AUACGGAGGGUGCAAGCGUUACUCGGAAUCACUGGGCGUAAAGUGCGCGCAGGCGGUCUUUUAAGUUGGAUGUAAAAGCCUACGGCUCAUCCGUAGAACUGCAUCCAAAACUAUUAGACUAGAGUGUGGGAGAGGAAGAUGGAAUUAGUUGUGUAGGGGUAAAAUCCGUAGAGAUAACUAGGAAUACCAAAAGCGAAGGCAAUCUUCUGGAACACUACUGACGCUGAGGCGCGAAAGCGUGGGGAGCAAACAGGAUUAGAUACCCUAGUAGUCC
Molecule: ribosomal RNA, 274 nt
Filed under: uncultured bacterium
Lineage: Bacteria
Description: partial 16S ribosomal RNA
Rfam family: Bacterial small subunit ribosomal RNA
Source: RNAcentral